AAAUGGGAGCCUCGUCUUCUUGCAUCUUGUAUCUUUGUUUACUGUAUUUACUUAUAGGCCCUCAGUAACAAUGCACACUACUGAAUUCUUGCUUUUAUUAAUUAUGCCACCAAAUUUCACCCCAAAUUUUUAACAUCUUUUAUUCUUUAUACUCAUUUUCUAUGUUAGUCUUAAAGCCCCAGUUUAGUUGUUUUUUUCUGUUUAUGAAACUUGAGUCCUUAUUUUAAUUGGAUUAGCUUUAAAUGGGCUUUUUCCAUUUUAGGUAUCCUUAGACAAUGGAAACCUCCCGUAUAUCUGUAGGUAGUUUUCUUUGAAGUAUAAUAGCUAAGUCAAAACAGUAUUUGCUAUAAAAUACUGAUAAAUACUGC
This 368-nucleotide long non-coding RNA is filed under the name Bos taurus (domestic cattle). RNAcentral's name for it is "long non-coding RNA NONBTAT025765". Lineage: Eukaryota; Metazoa; Chordata; Mammalia; Artiodactyla; Bovidae. The record is from RNAcentral.